RNAcentral lists this ribosomal RNA (2928 nucleotides) under Salmonella enterica subsp. enterica serovar Enteritidis str. EC20120544. Its description in RNAcentral is "bacterial LSU rRNA". It matches the Rfam family "Bacterial large subunit ribosomal RNA". The record is from RNAcentral. Lineage: Bacteria; Pseudomonadati; Pseudomonadota; Gammaproteobacteria; Enterobacterales; Enterobacteriaceae.
GGGUUGUGAGGUUAAGCGACUAAGCGUACACGGUGGAUGCCCUGGCAGUCAGAGGCGAUGAAGGGCGUGCUAAUCUGCGAUAAGCGCCGGUAAGGUGAUAUGAACCGUUAUAACCGGCGAUACCCGAAUGGGGAAACCCAGUGUGAUUCGUCACACUAUCAUUAACUGAAUCCAUAGGUUAAUGAGGCGAACCGGGGGAACUGAAACAUCUAAGUACCCCGAGGAAAAGAAAUCAACCGAGAUUCCCCCAGUAGCGGCGAGCGAACGGGGAGGAGCCCAGAGCCUGAAUCAGCAUGUGUGUUAGUGGAAGCGUCUGGAAAGGCGCGCGAUACAGGGUGACAGCCCCGUACACAAAAGCGCAUGUGCUGUGAGCUCGAUGAGUAGGGCGGGACACGUGGUAUCCUGUCUGAAUAUGGGGGGACCAUCCUCCAAGGCUAAAUACUCCUGACUGACCGAUAGUGAACCAGUACCGUGAGGGAAAGGCGAAAAGAACCCCGGCGAGGGGAGUGAAAAAGAACCUGAAACCGUGUACGUACAAGCAGUGGGAGCACNNNNNNNNNNNNNNGACUGCGUACCUUUUGUAUAAUGGGUCAGCGACUUAUAUUCUGUAGCAAGGUUAACCGAAUAGGGGAGCCGGAGGGAAACCGAGUCUUAAUUGGGCGUUAAGUUGCAGGGUAUAGACCCGAAACCCGGUGAUCUAGCCAUGGGCAGGUUGAAGGUUGGGUAACACUAACUGGAGGACCGAACCGACUAAUGUUGAAAAAUUAGCGGAUGACCUGUGGCUGGGGGUGAAAGGCCAAUCAAACCGGGAGAUAGCUGGUUCUCCCCGAAAGCUAUUUAGGUAGCGCCUCGUGAAUUCAUCUCCGGGGGUAGAGCACUGUUUCGGCUAGGGGGCCAUCCCGGCUUACCAACCCGAUGCAAACUGCGAAUACCGGAGAAUGUUAUCACGGGAGACACACGGCGGGUGCUAACGUCCGUCGUGAAGAGGGAAACAACCCAGACCGCCAGCUAAGGUCCCAAAGUCAUGGUUAAGUGGGAAACGAUGUGGGAAGGCCCAGACAGCCAGGAUGUUGGCUUAGAAGCAGCCAUCAUUUAAAGAAAGCGUAAUAGCUCACUGGUCGAGUCGGCCUGCGCGGAAGAUGUAACGGGGCUAAACCAUGCACCGAAGCUGCGGCAGCGACACUGUGUGUUGUUGGGUAGGGGAGCGUUCUGUAAGCCUGUGAAGGUGUGUCGUGAGGCAUGCUGGAGGUAUCAGAAGUGCGAAUGCUGACAUAAGUAACGAUAAAGCGGGUGAAAAGCCCGCUCGCCGGAAGACCAAGGGUUCCUGUCCAACGUUAAUCGGGGCAGGGUGAGUCGACCCCUAAGGCGAGGCCGAAAGGCGUAGUCGAUGGGAAACGGGUUAAUAUUCCCGUACUUGGUGUUACUGCGAAGGGGGGACGGAGAAGGCUAUGUUGGCCGGGCGACGGUUGUCCCGGUUUAAGCGUGUAGGUGUGUGUUCCAGGUAAAUCCGGUUCACUUUAACACUGAGGCGUGACGACGAGGCACUACGGUGCUGAAGCAACAAAUGCCCUGCUUCCAGGAAAAGCCUCUAAGCAUCAGGUAACAUCAAAUCGUACCCCAAACCGACACAGGUGGUCAGGUAGAGAAUACCAAGGCGCUUGAGAGAACUCGGGUGAAGGAACUAGGCAAAAUGGUGCCGUAACUUCGGGAGAAGGCACGCUGACACGUAGGUGAAGUGAUUUACUCAUGGAGCUGAAGUCAGUCGAAGAUACCAGCUGGCUGCAACUGUUUAUUAAAAACACAGCACUGUGCAAACACGAAAGUGGACGUAUACGGUGUGACGCCUGCCCGGUGCCGGAAGGUUAAUUGAUGGGGUCAGCGCAAGCGAAGCUCCUGAUCGAAGCCCCGGUAAACGGCGGCCGUAACUAUAACGGUCCUAAGGUAGCGAAAUUCCUUGUCGGGUAAGUUCCGACCUGCACGAAUGGCGUAAUGAUGGCCAGGCUGUCUCCACCCGAGACUCAGUGAAAUUGAACUCGCUGUGAAGAUGCAGUGUACCCGCGGCAAGACGGAAAGACCCCGUGAACCUUUACUAUAGCUUGACACUGAACAUUGAGCCUUGAUGUGUAGGAUAGGUGGGAGGCUUUGAAGUGUGGACGCCAGUCUGCAUGGAGCCGACCUUGAAAUACCACCCUUUAAUGUUUGAUGUUCUAACGUGGACCCGUUACCCGGGUUGCGGACAGUGUCUGGUGGGUAGUUUGACUGGGGCGGUCUCCUCCUAAAGAGUAACGGAGGAGCACGAAGGUUGGCUAAUCCUGGUCGGACAUCAGGAGGUUAGUGCAAUGGCAUAAGCCAGCUUGACUGCGAGCGUGACGGCGCGAGCAGGUGCGAAAGCAGGUCAUAGUGAUCCGGUGGUUCUGAAUGGAAGGGCCAUCGCUCAACGGAUAAAAGGUACUCCGGGGAUAACAGGCUGAUACCGCCCAAGAGUUCAUAUCGACGGCGGUGUUUGGCACCUCGAUGUCGGCUCAUCACAUCCUGGGGCUGAAGUAGGUCCCAAGGGUAUGGCUGUUCGCCAUUUAAAGUGGUACGCGAGCUGGGUUUAGAACGUCGUGAGACAGUUCGGUCCCUAUCUGCCGUGGGCGCUGGAGAACUGAGGGGGGCUGCUCCUAGUACGAGAGGACCGGAGUGGACGCAUCACUGGUGUUCGGGUUGUCAUGCCAAUGGCACUGCCCGGUAGCUAAAUGCGGAAGAGAUAAGUGCUGAAAGCAUCUAAGCACGAAACUUGCCCCGAGAUGAGUUCUCCCUGAGACUUAGAGUCUCCUGAAGGAACGUUGAAGACGACGACGUUGAUAGGCCGGGUGUGUAAGCGCAGCGAUGCGUUGAGCUAACCGGUACUAAUGAACCGUGAGGCUUAACCUUACAACGCCGAAG